UUUCAACUUAAUUGUUAAGAAGUAUGUAAUUUUUGAAUCAAGAUUGACAAUUCAUUCAUUAGUUAUUGAAGUUUAAAUCUGUUGUAGGAAUUACUAGGAUUUGGUUAAGAUUUUAUUUAGCAUUUGAUUUAGGAUUUAGGAUUAGAUUAGGAUUUGGUUAGGAUUUGAUUUAGGAUUUAGGUUUGCUUAGGGUUUGAUUUAGGAUUUAGAAUUUGGCUAGGAUUCAGUUAGGAUUUGAUUUAAGAUUUAGAAUUUGAUCAGGAUUUAAUUUAAAAUUUAGGAUUUGAUUAGAGUUUGAUUUAAGAUUUAAGAUUUGAUUAGGAUUUGAUUUAGGAUUUAAGAUUUAGUUAGGAUUUGAUUUAGGAUUUAGGAUUUGAUUGGAAUUUUAUUUAGGAUUCAAGAUUUGAUUAGGAUUUGAUUUAAGAUUUAAGAUUUGAUUAGAGUUUGAUUUAGGAUUAGGAUUUAGGAUUUAGUUAGGGCUUGGUAUAGGAUUUAGGAUUUGGUUAGGAUUUGGUUUAGGAUUAAGGAUUGUAUUAGAAUUUUUUUAGGAUUUAAAAUUCAAUUAAUUUUUGGCUUAAAGUUUGAGUGAAGUCCAAUAAGAUUUUAACUAGGAUUAAAUUAAGAUUGAAUUGAGAUGUAUUUGAGAUAUAUUUGUGAUCAUUCUAAUAUUUCUUUAAGAUUUUUUAUUGUUUCUUUUUAAUUCUUUUGAGGUUUCUUUUAAUUUGAUUAAAGCUUGCUUAGCAUUGUUAUGGUCUAAUUAAAAUUUAAUUAAUAUUCUAUUAGAGUUAAGAUUUUAUUGUUGUAAUUUCCAUUCUACCUUCCACAACUAGGUGCUCAGAGCAUUCUCAAGCAAGACUUCAUGUAUUAUGUCAACGUAACCUUUAUUCUUAACUAUUAUAGUAGGUAAUUCUUUAACUAUCUUAUUGCAAAAAAAUAAGAAAAAAAAAAAAAAGCUUGAGCUCUUUUCCAUCUCGAUACGGAAUUUUUUUUGACAAUUAAGAUUACUUAAGGUCACUCUUACAUAAUAGUAGUUUUUUAUAGCAAUUAAAAUUAGAAAUAGUCUUGCUUGAGAUGAUAUUUAACCAAGCAUUCUUCCUUAAGUCAUUUUUGUUUUAUUUUCCUUCCUUGUUAAAAGGUAUUUAAGUGGGUUAUAGGUUGAAGAGUAAAACAUUUAAAUUAUUGAGAAAUUGGAUGGAUUAAAAAUUAUACUAAGUUGGACUGAAUGUCUCUUGUCAUGUGGAUGCAAUGUUCCACUAGAUUAAAG
Molecule: long non-coding RNA, 1264 nt
Filed under: Physcomitrium patens
Lineage: Eukaryota; Viridiplantae; Streptophyta; Bryopsida; Funariales; Funariaceae
Description: long non-coding RNA (PPAT_LNC011591)
Source: RNAcentral